AAACCACGGGCCAGCAGGUACUACCCACGGAAGCAGCACGUCGCCCACCCCAGCCGCUCUUGCUCCUGUAUUGACCCAGGCCGGCCAUCAUUUGAGCGCGGCCUAGGCCCAAGCAGCUGCAGGUCCUGUCUCAGGUCCGAUCCAGCCAUUCUUCAGUCCAUUCCAGAAGCCCAGGAGCCCCUUAUGCUGCAGAUCUAGGACCACAUCUCCAGCUAGCUUCGCUCGGCGCUAACUUCGUGCUCGAGACUCUACAACAGACGCUUCCGGUUGACUGCAUCCACCACAGGUAACAGGUUCUUCUUUCUUUUGGGCUUGUUUAUCUAAUUAUGUUCUAGUUCUCUUGCAUGACAGUCCUAUUUUGAAAACUUACUUUCCUGUCAAACUACAAAACCUAGAACAUCUACUACCACACCCAUUC
This 418-nucleotide long non-coding RNA is filed under the name Phoenix dactylifera (date palm). RNAcentral describes it as "long non-coding RNA (PDAC_LNC012271)". Lineage: Eukaryota; Viridiplantae; Streptophyta; Magnoliopsida; Arecales; Arecaceae. The record is from RNAcentral.